AUUGACGGACUGAAGGCUCUUUCUCGAUUCCGUGGAAAGUGGUGCAUGGCCGUUUUGGUUGGUGGAUCGAUCCGUCUGGUUAAUUCCGUUAACGAACGAGACCUCGGCACUCCGAAUAGCGCGGCGGACGUCGCGGCCUCCGGGCCGUCUUCCGCACGAGCUUCUUAGAGGGACCGUCCCCCGCCGGGGAAGGAGGUGCGAGGCAACGACAGGUCUGUGAUGCCCUUAGAUGUUCUGGGCCGCACGCGCAUUACACUGACGCGUCCAACGGGUGACUCCCGACCCGAAGGGGCCGGGGAAUCCGCAAGGCGCGUCGUGAUGGGGAUUGAACGUUGCAAUUGUUGUUCACGAACGAGGAAUUCCUAGUAGGCGCGGGUCAUCAACCCGCGCCGAUUACGUCCCUG
This 404-nucleotide ribosomal RNA is filed under the name uncultured eukaryote. RNAcentral describes it as "bacterial SSU rRNA". It matches the Rfam family "Eukaryotic small subunit ribosomal RNA", at positions 1239 to 1655 of the family's 1831-position model. The record is from RNAcentral.